RNAcentral lists this ribosomal RNA (468 nucleotides) under uncultured bacterium. Its description in RNAcentral is "partial 16S ribosomal RNA". It matches the Rfam family "Bacterial small subunit ribosomal RNA", at positions 28 to 507 of the family's 1533-position model. The record is from RNAcentral.
GACGAACGCUGGCGGCGUGCUUAACACAUGCAAGUCGAACGGAAAGGCCCUGCUUUUGUGUGGUGCUCGAGUGGCGAACGGGUGAGUAACACGUGAGUCACCUGCCCUUUACUUUGGGAUAACUUCAGGAAAGUGGGGCUACUACCGGAUAGGAGCUCCUGCUGCAUGGUGGGGGUUGGACAGUUUCGGCGGUUGGGGAUGGAUGCGCGGCUUAUCAGCUUGUUGGUGGGGUAGUUGCUUACCCAGGCUUUGGCGGGUAGCCGGCAUGAGAGGGUGGACGGGCACCUGGGGACUGAGAGACGGACCAGACUCCUACGGGAGGCAGCAGUGGGGAAUAUUGCACAAUGGGGGGAAGUGUGAUGAAGAAACGCCGCGUGCGGGAUGACGGCCUUCGGGUUGUAAACCGCUGUAGCCUGUGACGAAGCGUGAGUGACGGUAAUGGGUAAAGAAGCACCGGCUAACUACGUG